CAUGGCUUUUUGAUAAUAAUUUAAGGUCUGACCUGCCCUAUGAAAUUUAUUUUAAAUGGCUGCGGUAAUUUGACCGUACAAAGGUAGCAUAAUAAUUAGUUUUUUAAUUGGGAACUGGAAUGAAAGGUCGAACGAGAAAAAGACUGUCUCAGAUUAAUUUAAAUUAGAAUUUUAUUUUUAAGUUAGAAAGCUUAAAUAUUUUUAAAAGACGAGAAGACCCUAUAGAGUUUUAUAUACGUGAUAUUUUUUGGAAACUUAAGUAUUAAAAUUUUGAUUAUUAUUAUUUAUAUUUGGUUGGGGCGAUUGAAAAAUUAGAAAAACUUUUUUGAAUAAUUACAACAUUGAUUUAUGAUUUAUUGAUCCAUAUAUUUAUGAUUAUUAGAUUAAAUUACCUUAGGGAUAACAGCGUUAUUUUUUUUGAGAGUUCUUAUCGAAAAAAAAGUUUGCGACC
Molecule: ribosomal RNA, 451 nt
Filed under: Deltochilum carinatum
Lineage: Eukaryota; Metazoa; Arthropoda; Insecta; Coleoptera; Scarabaeidae
Description: partial 16S ribosomal RNA
Rfam family: Bacterial large subunit ribosomal RNA
Source: RNAcentral